Molecule: long non-coding RNA, 584 nt
Organism: Triplophysa dalaica
Lineage: Eukaryota; Metazoa; Chordata; Actinopteri; Cypriniformes; Nemacheilidae
Exons: 3
Source: RefSeq, a predicted model, not a curated record
UGACCGUGACAUCCCUAACGUUAGUUGGAUUACAUUUCUGUAUAAGUACGGUUUUAAGUGUAAGUUACUCUGUUUAAUUUGCUUAGAGUUUGUUCGUAGAGUCACUUAUACUAAAAUGUAGUUUAAAUGUAAAAUGCUUAAAGAUAAAUUGUAUAGUAACUAUUAACUAUUGUCACAUGUGGUAUUGUUUGUUUUAGGACACACUUUGCCAUGCAGGCCACUGGAUACUGACUACUGAAGGUUAGGUUGUGUGUGACGGUGCUCAGCACAGCUUCAUGUCUGGCCUUCCCACUCUGUUCAUAACAUGUUACAUAUUCAAUCUUGAGUACCAGGAUGGGGCAAGCGUGUAUCUUGGAGUCCAAUGAAAGAUAUUAAUCCAGAGAGUGGAACAAGAAGAAGCAUCAUCUAAAAUGCCAGGAAACAGAAGAAACAGGUUGCAGUGAACCCACAUGUUGCCGCUCUACACAAUGAUGAAUUUUCAUUGUAAUCGAUGAAAAAUGAAUGGAAAAGUAUUUGAACACAGUUGAUCAUCUAUAAGACCAUCAGGACGUAUAACACCACAAGGUUGGUUCAAGUUCAUCAAG